GUGUCAGCAGCCGCGGUAAGACGAACCGUGCGAACGUUAUUCGGAAUCAUUGGGCUUAAAGAGCGCGUAGGCGGCGACGUAAGUUGGAAGUGAAAUCCCAUCGGCUCAACCGUGGAAUCGCUCCCAGUACUGCGUUGCUCGAGGGAGAUAGGGGCCUGUGGAACUGCCGGUGGAGCGGUGAAAUGUGUUGAUAUCGGCGGGAACGCCAGUGGCGAAAGCGACAGGCUGGACCUUUUCUGACGCUGAGGCGCGAAAGCUAGGGGAGCAAACGGGAUUAGAAACCCCCGUAGUCC
This 293-nucleotide ribosomal RNA is filed under the name uncultured bacterium. RNAcentral's name for it is "partial 16S ribosomal RNA". It matches the Rfam family "Bacterial small subunit ribosomal RNA", at positions 505 to 796 of the family's 1533-position model. The record is from RNAcentral.